AGAGUUUGAUCCUGGCUCAGAUUGAACGCUGGCGGCAUGCCUUACACAUGCAAGUCGAACGGCAGCGCGGGGCAACCUGGCGGCGAGUGGCGAACGGGUGAGUAAUAUAUCGGAACAUACCCUAGAGUGGGGGAUAACGUAGCGAAAGUUACGCUAAUACCGCAUACGAUCUGAGGAUGAAAGUGGGGGAUCGCAAGACCUCAUGCUCAUGGAGUGGCCGAUAUCUGAUUAGCUAGUUGGUAGGGUAAAAGCCUACCAAGGCGACGAUCAGUAGCUGGUUUGAGAGAACGACCAGCCACACUGGAACUGAGACACGGUCCAGACUCCUACGGGAGGCAGCAGUGGGGAAUUUUGGACAAUGG
This 362-nucleotide ribosomal RNA is filed under the name uncultured bacterium. RNAcentral's name for it is "bacterial SSU rRNA". It matches the Rfam family "Bacterial small subunit ribosomal RNA", at positions 8 to 374 of the family's 1533-position model. The record is from RNAcentral.